RNAcentral lists this ribosomal RNA (107 nucleotides) under Enterobacter asburiae. RNAcentral's name for it is "partial 23S ribosomal RNA". It matches the Rfam family "Bacterial large subunit ribosomal RNA", at positions 2819 to 2925 of the family's 2925-position model. Lineage: Bacteria; Pseudomonadati; Pseudomonadota; Gammaproteobacteria; Enterobacterales; Enterobacteriaceae. RNAcentral also lists the same sequence under 2 other names. The record is from RNAcentral.
UGAGAGUCCUGAAGGAACGUUGAAGACGACGACGUUGAUAGGUCGGGUGUGUAAGCGCAGCGAUGCGUUGAGCUAACCGAUACUAAUGAACCGUGAGGCUUAACCUU